AAGUCGUAACAAGGUUUCCGUAGGUGAACCUGCGGAAGGAUCAUUAAUGUGUGCUUUGCAAGCCCCCACUGAUCCCAGUGGUGUGCUGCAAUGUCCCAUCCUGUGUUGUGUGAGCGUGUGAUGUGUGCACAUGUUGCUGUGUGCACACGUUUGCUAUUUACACCACAUGUUUUUCAAUCUUUCUGAUAUACUGUGUUUGAUCCACUGCGAUCAACAACAACAACAAUCGAAAACUGCCACCAAUGGAUCACUUGGUUCUC
This 260-nucleotide unclassified non-coding RNA is filed under the name fungal sp. RNAcentral's name for it is "partial internal transcribed spacer region". The stretch from base 1 to 46 matches the Rfam family "Eukaryotic small subunit ribosomal RNA", at positions 1786 to 1831 of the family's 1831-position model. Lineage: Eukaryota; Fungi. The record is from RNAcentral.